RNAcentral lists this ribosomal RNA (467 nucleotides) under uncultured bacterium. RNAcentral's name for it is "partial 16S ribosomal RNA". It matches the Rfam family "Bacterial small subunit ribosomal RNA", at positions 28 to 507 of the family's 1533-position model. The record is from RNAcentral.
GACGAACGCUGGCGGCGUGCUUAACACAUGCAAGUCGAACGAUGACGACCGAGCUUGCUCGGUCUGAUUAGUGGCGAACGGGUGAGUAACACGUGAGCAACCUGCCCUUCACUCUGGGAUAACCUCGGGAAAUCGGGGCUAAUACCGGAUAUGAGCUACUGUCGCAUGGUGGGUGUUGGAAGGUUUUUCGGUGAAGGAUGGGCUCGGGCCCUAUAAGUUGGUUGGCGAGGUAGUGGCUCACCAAGGCGAUGACGGGUAGCCGGCCUGAGAGGGCGACCGGCCACGCUGGGACUGAGACACGGCCCAGACUCCUACGGGAGGCAGCAGUGGAGAAUAUUGCACAAUGGGCGAAAGCCUGAUGCAGCGACGCCGCGUGAGGGAUGACGGCCUUCGCGUUGUAAACCUCUUUCAGCAGGGAAGAAGCGAAAGUGACGGUACCUGCAGAAGAAGCGCCGGCUAACUACGUG